Molecule: unclassified non-coding RNA, 1193 nt
Filed under: Hevea brasiliensis (rubber tree)
Lineage: Eukaryota; Viridiplantae; Streptophyta; Magnoliopsida; Malpighiales; Euphorbiaceae
Source: RNAcentral
UCCGUUUUUUACUGCGAGGAACUGAUGAAAAGGAAGAAUUAAGUGUUCAAUGAGCAACUUCACAUUGAUCACAUAGUAAAUUACAAUAUUAUAUACUUUCACAAGCACAAAAUGCUGUUGAGUUUGGAUAACAAAUAUAUAAUUAGCAGAUUAAACAUUCCAGCUAUAUAGUAGGCCAUUGCCAGAGUAACAUAGAUUGUAUAAAUUGCAUCCUACAGGUGCCAUCUAGUGGUUAGGAACUUGCUACUUACAUAAAAACAAGGACCAGAUUUGUUAAGUUGAAUUAAACAACCAUUUUCAGCAUUCAGGAUACACGCAUCAUAUCUGAAACAAAACUUAUUCAUUUAUUAAUCUUACCUUUCUAAUGGUAAGAAAACACACUAAUUUCAAAAGUAGCCAAGCACACUAGUGUCACAAGUAACCAAACACAAUAAUUUUAUAUGUAAGCAAGCAAUAAUUUUCAAGAUAGAAUAUAGAUAAACAGAUGUGAGAAAAUGUGAUGAUGACCAAAAAAAUUGAUAUUUAAAGGCAUCAAAGUGACAAUUUGACUUUCUCCUCUAUUUUGGAUUUAAUCCUUGCUUUUCUCCAUCUCUUCCUAAUAUUUGAUUUUCUAAUAGGAAAAUAGCGCUAUUUGAGGAAAGUUCAAUAUAGUGUUGUGCCACAUCUCAAUCAUAAGAAUUUUUCUUCCCAGCACAGCCCUUAAACUUUACUUAUUUUGACAUUAAUUUUAAAUUGUCUUAAAUAUCAAUCUACAUGAGCCCUUAAAAAAUUAUUUUAUUACAAUUAAAAACAUAUAGUACAUAAUGAUAACACUAUUAACAUAUAAUUUGUAAAAUACCCACUCAAGUAUUAUUAACCUUCAAACAAGUGCUUCCCGAAUCAGGAAACAAACGUCAAAUUUUCCCAUCACUUAACAAGGAGAAACAUUUUAUUAUCAUUAAUUAUCCGAUCAUUGCCUAUCACUGAACAUGAAAAGAAAUUAAUAUUCUUCCUAAUUUUACAAUCAGUUUCAAAUGUUUCAAGUAAAACAUGCCGACAGAACACCCUGAUAAAUUAUUACAUCAAAAUUUGGAACGUUCUAAGUAGCAAUGAUUGUAUGAUUUUAUCCAUAUGAAAGCUAAAAAAGUAGUAUUGAUGUAAAUAUAUCAACAAGUUCACUGAUUGUAAACAGUGGUACAGGAAAGAACAAUUAC